RNAcentral lists this ribosomal RNA (252 nucleotides) under uncultured Bacteroidales bacterium. RNAcentral's name for it is "partial 16S ribosomal RNA". It matches the Rfam family "Bacterial small subunit ribosomal RNA", at positions 524 to 776 of the family's 1533-position model. The record is from RNAcentral. Lineage: Bacteria; Pseudomonadati; Bacteroidota; Bacteroidia; Bacteroidales.
UACGGAGGAUGCGAGCGUUAUCCGGAUUUAUUGGGUUUAAAGGGUGCGUAGGCGGGACCUUAAGUCAGCGGUAAAAUUGCGGUGCUCAACGCCGUAGAGCCGUUGAAACUGGGGUUCUUGAGUGAGCGAGAAGUAUGCGGAAUGCGUGGUGUAGCGGUGAAAUGCAUAGAUAUCACACAGAACACCGAUUGCGAAGGCAUCUGACGAAUCGGAGAUUGACGCUGAUGCACGAAAGCGUGGGUAUCGAACAGG